CCAGACUCCUACGGGAGGCAGCAGUGAGGAAUAUUGGUCAAUGGCCGAGAGGCUGAACCAGCCAAGUCGCGUGAGGGAUGACGGCCCUACGGGUUGUAAACCUCUUUUGCCGGGGAGCAAAGAGCGGGACGCGUCCCGCCUCGAGAGUACCCGGAGAAAAAGCAUCGGCUAACUCCGUGCCAGCAGCCGCGGUAAUACGGAGGAUGCGAGCGUUAUCCGGAUUUAUUGGGCGUAAAGCGUGCGCAGGCGGCUUAUUAAGUCUAAGAUUAAAGCCCGGAGCUUAACUCCGGUUCGUCCUAGAAACUGGUAGGCUUGAGUAUGGUAGAGGCAAAUGGAAUUCCUAGUGUAGCGGUGGAAUGCGUAGAUAUUAGGAGGAGCACCAGUGGCGAAGGCGAUUUGCUGGGCCAUCACUGACGCUCAUGCACGAAAGCGUGGGGAGCAAAUAGGAUUAGAUACCCGAGUAAUG
This 466-nucleotide ribosomal RNA is filed under the name uncultured bacterium. Its description in RNAcentral is "bacterial SSU rRNA". It matches the Rfam family "Bacterial small subunit ribosomal RNA", at positions 331 to 795 of the family's 1533-position model. The record is from RNAcentral.